UGCUCUCCCUCUGUGAGUUGUGCAGUUUCGGCAAAGUGUAGCUGUGUUAGUUGGAUGUGAAUGCUUAGGAUGAGGGUCAGUGAGGGGCAUGAGAAUGGUUUUGGCACCCCGCUACGGUCUGACAGAGAGAGUGCAUUGUUCUCUGACCCAAAUUUCUUGACCUGGAACUGCACAGAAAAAAAAAAAAACAGAUGAUAAUGAAUGGGUCGCAGCAACAUGUUUUCACUCUCCGCUGCCUCACACUCACUGACCAGACCAUGACAUCAUCCAACUGUCAAACAGCAUUUUCUGACAAUUAGCCCCCUCUGAAAAGAGCGGAAUAGACAAGACCUUAAGGUGCAGCUAACUAAGAAACAUGUCAUAAAACAUGGAAAAUCCAUAAAACACCAGAAAAUGUUUCACUGUUAUUUAUCACUAAAAAAUUAUUGGUUGAUCGAACCAUCAAGAUAGAUCAGAGUUUUGUUAUUGUGGAACAGCUACAAUAAAGGCUAUUUUCUGCUGAGUGUUAAUCAUUUUUAAGAAUCCCAUUAUCUAUCAUCACUGAAGAUGCCAAUGUUUUUUCAUACACCCAAAGUCUAAACUAGAACACAUAACUGCGCUACCAAAGUAAAAGUUCGUUUACAUUCAACCGCUUACAAGCUAGAAAUACCUUUACUUGGAAUUUAUGCCCUCCCUUAUCUAUUAGACUCUAUUAAACUGAAAUACAGAGUCUCGACUGAUUCCUAGCUAACAGCAAUUUCAGCUAGUUCUGAACAGUAGUUGAACGCCAAUGAAGAGGUUUUUUUUUCUAGCGUUGGUAACACAGUAGGCCUACUUUGCUUCAAUUAAUCAAAUAACUAAAGGACUCUGAGAUGUGUGAAAGCACCUACAAGACAAAGAACUCUGAAAUACACAGGAGAGUGAUCACCUGUUAACUCUAGCCAAAUCAACAUAUUAAAUGACCAAUUUGUCUAGGUCUGAGUAAAUUAUGUUGGAAAGGAAUUGAUGCUUUCCCUAUUUCUAUAUUCAGGCUUUCAGCUGAUUCCUUGCUAAUGGUAGACCUAAGUGAAGAGUUAAUGCUAAGAUUGGCUUAUAACCCCAAAUCAAAAGGGCCAUUUAAUUUUCCCCAUUUGCUUUACUAUUAUUUACUUGACAGUGAUGUGUUUAGUAUAUUGCAGUGUUUAAUGAAACAGACAAGAUGAAAAUAGAAUAUUGUAUUUGUAAGUAUGUUUAUUUAGUGUUGCCUCAACAUAAAAACUGUUUGAUUCUGUUAACUAUAUAAGUAUGUUUAUCGAUGUAGGAGUGGGUCUUGUCAUGUUCCUACUCUAACACAGAAUGGACAAACUAGUAACAUUUACAUUUUUGUGUGAAGUGACCACAUGAAAUGUACCUGUUGUAAGAUAAAGUAAAAACAUGCGUUACAGUGCAUGUAUCACACAGUUUUUUUUUUCUUUGAAGCCCAUUGUUAGUUUAGGGAUCGGAGGGGAGUAUUUUCAAGGUGAGAGGUGAUUGAAUAAAAACACUAAUUUCUUGAAAACCCUAAAUUUGAAGCUGAUUUUAAGGCC
Molecule: non-coding RNA, 1544 nt
Organism: Xyrichtys novacula (pearly razorfish)
Lineage: Eukaryota; Metazoa; Chordata; Actinopteri; Labriformes; Labridae
Source: the annotation of a GenBank genome assembly